RNAcentral lists this long non-coding RNA (788 nucleotides) under Homo sapiens (human). Its description in RNAcentral is "HSALNT0082682". The record is from RNAcentral. Lineage: Eukaryota; Metazoa; Chordata; Mammalia; Primates; Hominidae.
AUUUCAUACUUAAAACAAUAUUCUAUGCAAAAUGCUAUAAUUUCCCCUUGCCUCCAAUUUACACAUGAUAAAACUGAGCCUAGUAAAAUUAAGUAUCAUGCCCCAAAGUUCUCUGCUUAGUAAGAAGUAGAGGCAAGCCCAAACCUAAGUCAUCUGAUUUCAGAGCCCAUACAGUUAAAUGCUCUAAAUGCAGCUUCCCGUGAUGAUGGUGACUAUGAGAGCCUGUCACAUAUGAUGUAGGACAGUGCUUCCCUGUAACAUGCACAAGAUUCCCGUGAUGAUGGUGAUUAUGAGAAGCCUGUCACAUGAUGUAGGACAGUGCUUCCCUGUAACAUGUGCAAGAUUCCCGUGAUGAUGGUGACUAUGAGAGCCUGUCACAUAUGAUGUAGGACAGUGCUUCCCUGUAACAUGUGCAAGAUUCCCAUGAUGAUGGUGACUAUGAGAGCCUGUCACAUAGGAUGUAGGACAGUGCUUCCCUGUAACAUGCACAAGAUUCACCCAGGGAUCUCUUUAAAAUGCAAAACCAUAGACCACACUUUGACUGGCUUGGAUAAGGGGUCAGAGCAUCGAAAUGAGUGUGUAGGUGACUGUGCUAAAAUUCUCCUGCUCAUGUGGGCACUGGCUCAUGAUAUUAACAAAGCUUAGGACCUCUAGUCCUUUCUGGAAAGAAAAUACACAUACAUAGCAUGUGACUGUGCAUAUGGAAUAUCUGUUGUGUUCUGGACAUUGUGCUGGACAACAGAGAUAAGAAGUCAAAUAUCCCUUGUCUCUAUCUGAAAGGAGCUUCC